AGUGAACGCUGGCGGUAGGCCUAACACAUGCAAGUCGAACGGCAGCACAGGAGAGCUUGCUCUCUGGGUGGCGAGUGGCGGACGGGUGAGGAAUACAUCGGAAUCUACUCUGUCGUGGGGGAUAACGUAGGGAAACUUACGCUAAUACCGCAUACGACCUACGGGUGAAAGCAGGGGACCUUCGGGCCUUGCGCGAUUGAAUGAGCCGAUGUCGGAUUAGCUAGUUGGCGGGGUAAAGGCCCACCAAGGCGACGAUCCGUAGCUGGUCUGAGAGGAUGACCAGCCACACGGGAACUGAGACACGGUCCAGACUCCUACGGGAGGCAGCAGUGGGGAAUAUUGGACAAUGGGCGCAAGCCUGAUCCAGCCAUACCGCGUGGGUGAAGAAGGCCUUCGGGUUGUAAAGCCCUUUUGUUGGGAAAGAAAUCCAGCUGGCUAAUACCCGGUUGGGAUGACGGUACCCAAAGAAUAAGCACCGGCUAACUUCGUGCCAGCCGCCGCAGUAA
RNAcentral lists this ribosomal RNA (506 nucleotides) under uncultured bacterium. RNAcentral describes it as "partial 16S ribosomal RNA". It matches the Rfam family "Bacterial small subunit ribosomal RNA", at positions 29 to 523 of the family's 1533-position model. The record is from RNAcentral.